This 343-nucleotide ribosomal RNA is filed under the name uncultured fungus. RNAcentral describes it as "SSU rRNA". It matches the Rfam family "Eukaryotic small subunit ribosomal RNA", at positions 292 to 636 of the family's 1831-position model. Lineage: Eukaryota; Fungi. The record is from RNAcentral.
GGUUCAUUCAAAUUUCUGCCCUAUCAACUUUCGACGGCUGGGUCUUGGCAGCCAUGGUGACAACGGGUAACGGAGGGUUAAGGCUCGACCCCGGAGAAGGAGCCUGAGAAACGGCUACUACAUCCAAGGAAGGCAGCAGGCGCGCCAAUUACCCAAUCCCGACCGGGGAGGUAGUGACAAUAAAUACUGAUACAGGGCUUUUUUGGGUCUUGUAAUUGGAAUGAGUACAAUUUAAAUCCCUUAACGAGGAACAAUUGGAGGGCAAGUCUGGUGCCAGCAGCCGCGGUAAUUCCAGCUCCAAUAGCGUAUAUUAAAGUUGUUGAGGUUAAAAAGCUCGUAGUUG